Molecule: long non-coding RNA, 1142 nt
Filed under: Anas platyrhynchos platyrhynchos (common mallard)
Lineage: Eukaryota; Metazoa; Chordata; Aves; Anseriformes; Anatidae
Description: lncRNA (ENSAPLG00000019690.1)
Source: RNAcentral
GGUUGCCACAUUCUACAGAUUACUAAUGACGAUUUAGCUCUAUUGCGGGGCAGGAGUGCAGAGACGCAGAUUACACUGCCAAAUGACCACCGGCAGGCUCGUUCACAAACAGCUUCUAAGGUUGCAGCUGGCACUGCCUGCAGCCGUAUAGCAGACGUUACACUCUCUUUCCUAACUAGUAAUCAUGUGUCUCGUAACAACUACAGUGUUUGGAACAAUUGUACAGCUUUGGCCUUAUCUCCUGAUGUUUUUCUGAUUUGUGGGGAUAGGGCCUGGCAAGGUAUCGCUGCAAAUGCUAUCAGAUGUCCAUGUUACUUAGAUAAACUCAUUGUGUUUGCUCCUAGCUUGUUACAGUUGCGUGAGAUCACCAGACAUAAAUGGGCAUUGCUUGCACCGGAUUGCAGUGAUAAUGUUGAAUUGUGCGGGGUUGCAGCUAGAGCGGCAUUGACAAUUUUAGUGCCUGGAGUGGCAUCUGUGGCCGCAUGGAACGACUUAGAAAAAUUGGUAUGCUGGGCCAAGAAGCAAGCCUAUGCCACAACAGAGAUACUUGAGGAGAUGUUACCAGAUCAAAAUAGUCUGCGACAUCUGCUUCUACAGGAUCAAGCUGCUAUUGACAUCUUGCUUUUGGCUCAAAGGAAUGGGUGUGAGGACUUUAAGGGAAUGUACUGUUUAAAUCUUUUUGAUCAUAAUGAGUCAAUUCACAAAUCCAUUACUUUCCUGAAAGAGCACAUGAGAAAGAUUCAAUAUGGUAUCAAUCCUUUCAAUCAAUGGUUCACUGAUUUGUUUGAAACAAUGCAUAGAUGGUUACUGGGAUUAGUCAAAGAGAGAUUAAGGAUUCUGUUUGCUGUGGUGUCAAUCAUCAUUGCAUGUGGUAUUGUGAUAAAUGUGGUUAAAGUGUUACUUGCAAAAAUGUUAUAUUGGGCAUGGUUUGCUCAAAAAAGAAAAAAAAAGGGGGGGGAAUUCUUGUGUGAAACACUGUCCACCCUUGUUAAGUUCACUAUAAAAGUUGGGCUAUUUGGGCAAUAAAAUGGAGCAUGAUCUGACUCUGCUGGUGUCUGUUGUGCUUUUGGCCGUGCUUCCUGCAAUAUCACAGCACUUUUUGAUGCCAUUGGCUACGGCUUGCCUCUUACGGAUUUGAAGAU